This 417-nucleotide unclassified non-coding RNA is filed under the name Hevea brasiliensis (rubber tree). Lineage: Eukaryota; Viridiplantae; Streptophyta; Magnoliopsida; Malpighiales; Euphorbiaceae. The record is from RNAcentral.
AGAAUAAAGCUCAGUGCUGAGAAGACUAUAUUCAUCUUUGUCAAGAACAUUUUGCCGCCCACUGCUGCCAUGAUGUCUGCAAUUUAUGAGGAAAACAAAGACGAGGAUGGCUUCCUCUACAUGACUUAUAGUGGGGAGAACACAUUUGGAGAAUCAUUCUGAACUGCACACUGAAGAGUGUGAGAAGACAAUGAACAAAUGUAAAUUCUGUCUUUCUGUUCUUACCACGGGGCAUCCAUGUUGAAACUUGCUAUGAUGCUGGCCGUUCUUAAGAUUUGAAGUAAAUAUUUGUGUUUGCCUGUUCUUAAGAUUUCCCAUGAGUAAAUUAAGUGGUAGUGGAUUUUACCAUACCAACUUAAUUUUGCAUGGAUGCAAUCUAGUUUUACUGCUAGCAGGGUUUUUUUUGUGUUAUAUAUA